This 405-nucleotide ribosomal RNA is filed under the name uncultured bacterium. Its description in RNAcentral is "bacterial SSU rRNA". It matches the Rfam family "Bacterial small subunit ribosomal RNA", at positions 355 to 775 of the family's 1533-position model. The record is from RNAcentral.
UGGGGAAUAUUGGGCAAUGGGGGCAACCCUGACCCAGCGACGCCGCGUGGGGGAAGACGGCCUUCGGGUUGUAAACCUCUUUUGUACGGGAAGAAGGAGGUGACGGUACUGUACGAAUAAGUCCCGGCUAACUACGCGCCAGCAGCCGCGGUAAUACGUAGGGGACGAGCGUUGUCCGGAAUUACUGGGCGUAAAGGGCGCGCAGGCUGUGCUGCAAGUCAGCUGUUAAAUGUCUGGGCUCAACCCGGGCAUACGGUUGAGACUGCGGUGCUGGAGUGCUGUAGAGGCAAGUGGAAUUCCCAGUGUAGCGGUGAAAUGCGUAGAUAUUGGGAAGAACACCGGUGGCGAAGGCGACUUGCUGGGCAGCAACUGACGCUGAGGCGCGAAAGCCAGGGGAGCAAACGG